UGGCUUAGUGGUUAAGAGCACUGGCUGCUCUUCCAGAGGACCUGGGUUCAAUUCCCAG
This is a transfer RNA of Neotoma lepida (desert woodrat), 58 nucleotides long. It matches the Rfam family "tRNA", at positions 8 to 63 of the family's 71-position model. From Rfam's summary of the family: Transfer RNA (tRNA) molecules are approximately 80 nucleotides in length. Their secondary structure includes four short double-helical elements and three loops (D, anti-codon, and T loops). The record is from Rfam. Lineage: Eukaryota; Metazoa; Chordata; Mammalia; Rodentia; Cricetidae.